RNAcentral lists this non-coding RNA (370 nucleotides) under Pongo abelii (Sumatran orangutan). Lineage: Eukaryota; Metazoa; Chordata; Mammalia; Primates; Hominidae. The record is from RNAcentral.
AGUACCCUCUGGAAGGGCCUGCGUGGCAAGGAACUGAUGUUUCCAGCCAGCAGCCAGCAAGAACUGCAAGCCUUGUGAAUGAGCUUGGAAGCAGAUCCUCCCCUCACUCAAGCAGUGAUAUGACAACAGCCUGAGACCCAGAGUUUUAUGGAUACUUCAAAAAUCAAGAAAGUAUAAGAAGAUAGUAAAGAAUGUUCCUCUCAGCCACGCUGCAUUCACCCAUUUCCCACCCCAACCUGCAAAAAGUAACCGCUGGCUGGGCCCGGUGGCUCACACCUGUAAUUCCAGCAUCUUGGGAGGCCAAGGUACAGCCAUGGGGGAAGAUGGCUGAGCACAAGGGACCAGCUGCAUGCUGCUCCUGGAGUCAGCU